UAACACCAGCCCCCCGAGUGGUGGGGAUGAUUAUUUGGCCUAAAGCGUCCGUAGCCGGCUUUGUAAAUCUCUCGUUAAAUCCAGCGUCCUAAGCGUUGGGCUGCGAGAGACACUGCAGAGCUAGAGGGUGGGAGAGGUCAGCGGUAUUCCUGGGGUAGGGGCGAAAUCCAUUGAUCCCAGGAGGACCACCAGUGGCGAAGGCUGCUGUCCAGAACACGCCUGACGGUCAGGGACGAAAGCUGGGGUAGCGAAUCGGAUUAGAUACCCGAGUAGUCCCAGCCGUAAACGAUGCAGGCUAGGUGUUGGGUCGGCCACGCGCCUCCUCAGUGCCGCAGCGAAGGCGUUAAGCUCGCCGCCUGGGGAGUACGGCCGCAAGGCUG
RNAcentral lists this ribosomal RNA (380 nucleotides) under uncultured archaeon. Its description in RNAcentral is "bacterial SSU rRNA". It matches the Rfam family "Archaeal small subunit ribosomal RNA", at positions 471 to 851 of the family's 1478-position model. The record is from RNAcentral.